CCUACGGGAGGCAGCAGUGGGGAAUAUUGGGCAAUGGGCGCAAGCCUGACCCAGCAACGCCGCGUGAAGGAAGAAGGCUUUCGGGUUGUAAACUUCUUUUCUCAGGGACGAAGCAAGUGACGGUAUCUAACCAGAAAGCCACGGCUAACUACGUGCCAGCAGCCGCGGUAAUACGUAGGUGGCAAGCGUUAUCCGGAUUUAUUGGGCGUAAAGGGAACGCAGGCGGAAUAUCAAGUCAGCGGUAAAAAUUCGGGGCUCAACCCCGUCGUGCCGUUGAAACUGAUGUUCUUGAGUGGGCGAGAAGUAUGCGGAAUGCGUGGUGUAGCGGUGAAAUGCAUAGAUAUCACGCAGAACUCCGAUUGCGAAGGCAGCAUACCGGCGCCCAACUGACGCUGAAGCACGAAAGCGUGGGUAUCGAACAGGAUUAGAUACCCCAGUAGUC
RNAcentral lists this ribosomal RNA (442 nucleotides) under uncultured bacterium. RNAcentral describes it as "partial 16S ribosomal RNA". It matches the Rfam family "Bacterial small subunit ribosomal RNA", at positions 338 to 795 of the family's 1533-position model. The record is from RNAcentral.